CCUCCUGAGCCGCUUCUGCCCUUUCCUUCCUUCCUCUGACGAAGUUCCAAGUGGCUCCAGACGUAAAUCAAACACAGCUGGGUGAGCUGCAAGCCGGCACGCCGCGUCAAAUUCACAGCUGCUGCAAGGUCACUGCACUGCUUUCGGGGGAGAGGUUCUGAUUUACACCAGCCUGGCCAGGCACACUGAGGAGGGCCUGAAGGACACAGGAGAGCUGUGGGGCCGAGGCGAUGCUUGCUUGCUCCAUGCAAUAGCUGAAGUGUUUCAUUAGGUGGAUUCCCUCCUGGCUCCUCUGGUCCAGGUGGGAAGCAGGACGCAUGGCAGAUCCUUGAUAUUUUGUACCAUCCAUCGCACCCUUUCCCUCCUCCUCCCACAUCUGUGUACACAGGGACCUGCAGCUGGCAAAGCUGAAAGAAGAUGUGGCCCAGGUACACAGGAGACCACCAAGCAUCCAUCUGUCAUCUCCCCUGCAAGAGGGCUUGAUUAUUUCUUCUCCCAGGUUUCUCCCUUCUUUCACACUCAUCUGCUCAUGGGACCGGCAGUGCUGGAUUUCAACGCAUCACAUGCAUUUGCAUGUACACCUGAGAGAAUUUUUUCCCUGUGCUGAACAUGAGGAGAAACCUGUGACCCUAAGAUCGUCACCUCCCUGGGGCAGAGGCUGCUGCGUGCCUGCUGUUUGUCACCGGUUACGUUCCUGCAAAACAGCAAAUGGAUAAAAAGAGUAACCUAACACAUGGAUUUGUGGCAUCUCACAGUUAUUUUGCCGAUGCUGUGUAUAAGGAUUAAAGUGGCCAUUGUUCCAGCAUGAUAUACCUUGUGUCUUAGUCAGCAGCUUCAUUAUUUUACUUAGCAGGAGAUGGCCAAUAAAGUAUUAAGAAGCCAAAUUUGGGACUUGCUUUCCUUUCAUAUAAAGAUGCAAAAGUCUGAUUUGUACUGCCUGUAAAUUUGCCAUAUCUCAGCAUGCAAAUACUCCUGAAUAAUUUAGGCUUUCUUUAAGAAAGGAUGCGAUACA
Cyanistes caeruleus (blue tit) is the source of this 1012-nucleotide long non-coding RNA. RefSeq lists it as uncharacterized. NCBI's taxonomy places the organism in Eukaryota, Metazoa, Chordata, Aves, Passeriformes, Paridae. The record is from RefSeq and is a predicted model, not a curated record.